This 460-nucleotide ribosomal RNA is filed under the name uncultured Sphingobacteriales bacterium. RNAcentral describes it as "bacterial SSU rRNA". It matches the Rfam family "Bacterial small subunit ribosomal RNA", at positions 921 to 1382 of the family's 1533-position model. The record is from RNAcentral. Lineage: Bacteria; Pseudomonadati; Bacteroidota; Sphingobacteriia; Sphingobacteriales.
CCGCACAAGCGGAGGAGCAUGUGGUUAAUUCGAUGAUACGCGAGGAACCUUACCUGGGCUCGAACGUAAGAUGACUGUAGGUGAAAGCUUACAUCUCUUCGGAGCAUUUUACGAGGUGCUGCAUGGUUGUCGUCAGCUCGUGCCGUGAGGUGUCGGGUUAAGUCCCAUAACGAGCGCAACCCCUACCUUUAGUUGCCAUCAGGUUAAGCUGGGGACUCUAAAGGAACUGCCUACGCAAGUAGUGAGGAAGGCGGGGAUGACGUCAAAUCAGCACGGCCCUUACGUCCAGGGCUACACACGUGCUACAAUGGCCGAUACAGAGGGCAGCUACCUGGUGACAGGAUGCAAAUCUCCAAAGUCGGUCUCAGUUCGGAUCGGAGUCUGCAACCCGACUCCGUGAAGUUGGAUUCGCUAGUAAUCGCGCAUCAGCCAUGGCGCGGUGAAUACGUUCCCGGGCCUU